This 441-nucleotide ribosomal RNA is filed under the name uncultured bacterium. Its description in RNAcentral is "bacterial SSU rRNA". It matches the Rfam family "Bacterial small subunit ribosomal RNA", at positions 958 to 1398 of the family's 1533-position model. The record is from RNAcentral.
AACGCGAAGAACCUUACCUGGGCUUGAACCGCACAGGACCCUCCCUAGAAAUAGGGACUUCCCGCAAGGGACCUGUGUAGAGGUGCUGCAUGGCUGUCGUCAGCUCGUGUCGUGAGAUGUUGGGUUAAGUCCCGCAACGAGCGCAACCCUUAUCUCCAGUUGCUACCAUUUAGUUGAGCACUCUGGCGAAACCGCCUCGGAUAACGGGGAGGAAGGUGGGGAUGACGUCAAGUCCUCAUGGCCUUUAUGUCCAGGGCUACACACGUGCUACAAUGGCCGGUACAAACCGUCGCAAACCCGCGAGGGGGAGCUAAUCGGAAAAAGCCGGCCUCAGUUCGGAUCGCAGUCUGCAACUCGACUGCGUGAAGCUGGAAUCGCUAGUAAUCGCGGAUCAGAACGCCGCGGUGAAUACGUUCCCGGGCCUUGUACACACCGGUACUA